Molecule: long non-coding RNA, 1018 nt
Organism: Physeter macrocephalus (sperm whale)
Lineage: Eukaryota; Metazoa; Chordata; Mammalia; Artiodactyla; Physeteridae
Exons: 4
Source: RefSeq, a predicted model, not a curated record
CAGGAGCGGAUGGAGAGACCUGUGUAAUUAGACCCUGCUUCCCAGGGUAUAAUUAGCUCAAGGCAAGCACACCUGUCUCUCCCCUUGGGCAGCGAGCAACUCGAGGGCAGGGAUGGGGCCCUGCAGAUGUGUGUUGCUACCACUCCAUACGGCUCCAGCUCUGAGGGGAGGCACUGCGGUCUGGGGUUUGAGAGCAAGGCCUGGACAUCAGAUUAGGAAGCUGAGGAACAGAGAGGUUAAGUGGCCUGCCAAGGUCACACAGUCAAGAAGUGGAGGAGCCAGGAUUCGAACCCAGGCAGAUCCUCCCACUGCUGCGGCGGAGAGGCACUAUUACCGCACAGUUACCGUGCCCAUUUUACAGAUGAGGAAACCCAGGUGAAGAGGUGGAAGUCAUUUGUUCAGGGUCAUGCAGCAGCAGACCUGGGAUCUGAACACAGAGCCCAUGCUCUUGGCCACUUGGCUCUUCUGCCCUCUCCCGGCCCAGCUCACAAACCAGCAUCCUCUUCUCCGCCAUCAGAGUCCACAUCCAAUCAAGUCUUGAUUCUAUGGCCAGAAUGUCUCACUCAGCCUCAUCUCCAAAAUCACAGCCCUGGUUCAGGCACAGGGGUGAGGGUGCCUCAAUGAUUUCCAAACCUGCCUCCUACCCCGUCUCUGGAGUGAUCUUUCUGGAGCAUAAAUCUGUUUCUCCUCUAGUCAAAAGCCUUCCAUGGCUCCCUACUACCUUCAAGAUAAAGUCUAAAUUUCCCUGGACUCAACCUAUUUUUGACCACCCUGGACCACGCACGGUUCCUGGACCAUCUUUCUCCCUUACUUGCCCUGGCAUGUUUCCACCACCUGUUUUUCCUCUCCUCCCUGCUGCAGGGUGAAUUUCAGUUUUUCCUUAGACGCCUAGCCCAAACAUCACCUCCUCCACGAAGCCUCCCCUGAUUCCCGACUCCAGGGCGGUUGUCUAUUCCACAGGGCAAUGACAGCUGACUCACCAUCACCAUGUCCCCCGCCCCCGCAACUGACAAGUGAC